Molecule: long non-coding RNA, 2049 nt
Organism: Anneissia japonica
Lineage: Eukaryota; Metazoa; Echinodermata; Crinoidea; Comatulida; Comatulidae
Exons: 2
Source: RefSeq, a predicted model, not a curated record
CUUUAUUCAAUCAGCUGCUUACAAUGAAUAUAAUCAAUUUUUACUUCUCAUCCACAAGUAUGGAACAAACAUUAAGAAUAUUAUCAUUUUUAUAUUAUAGGAAAAUAAACGAUUAAAAAAUUACUAAUCAAAUACAAGAGCUACACAAAAUACAAUUUAAAGGAAUACAAUAUUAUUACCGUAUAUGAAAAGAAUCACAUGAACAAAAUAAUACAGUGUACUUUAGCAUAUACAUUUUUAAAUGUUAUUAGAAAUUAUCAACUAGGUUUACAAAUUUAAAAAAAUAUAAUUUGCAUUCUGACAUUAAAAAAAAAUUCCAACCUUUUCUUUGGAAGCCAACUACACCUCUCAACCGUGCAACACAACACAGAAGAGUUUAUAUAUGAACUACUUUCCCACCCUGUGUAACAAAACUCAAUGAGUUUGGAUGAUUAUUUCAGCCCCCAAACUCUGUAACACAAGUAGGGCCUACUGUAUCUUCAGCUUUUUCUUAUCACGCACUCAUAAUUUAAAGAAUACAAAUUUUAUUCUCCAUAAUAAAGUGGAGUUGUGUUUUUCAUUAUAAACUUGAUUUUAUUCAGCAACAAAAUAGAAAUGCUGUAUACAUGCAUGAAAAUAAAUGCAUGUGUGGGAGUCGCACAUUGUACCUGGGGUUAGGGAGUUCAGUUAGUGUUAAGUCUAGCAUUUUGCAAGAUUUGAACUAAAGACCAUAGGAUUAAAGAACAAACACCUCAAUCGUCAAGCCACAUGUAUACUCCAGUAACAAAAUCUAUACGGAAAGAAGGCUUCUGAAACAUUUUAACUAACAUUAUACAAAUGUAUAUAUUAUUAGACUCAUUGCUUACAAUUUACUGAAAAAUAAUCGUACAAACCUAUUAAAUAAUCCAAAUUCUAUCAAGGGUUGAUGUGAAUGUAAAACAAAAUCACAAAAAUAAAACAAAAAAAAAACAAAAAAAAAAACAAUAAAAAACAUUAAUAAGCCAAGAAUAAAAAAGUCUAUACAAGUCUAUUUACUAACAUACAGUAUACACCAACUCGCAUUCGUGAGCCUUGGGUUUGAAUCCCAAACACACUUUUUUCCUUUAUCUCUAAAAUCAUAAAACUUUUAAAAAGUGUUAUACCUCCAUUGAUACAAAUACCACUUCACUUAUAAAUGCAGAUGUAGUGAUGUUUUUCUGUUAACCAUUAAAAAUGACCCUCUGAAAUCAGAUGCAUUAGCAAGUAAUUCGUUGAAAACUAUUCUAUGAUUUCAACUGUUUCUGCCACCUUUUCUGAUGAUAAUCUCAAGUUAAUCUUGAUUCAAUUUCUUGGGUUAAGUAAUUGUUCUCCACUUAUAAUUGAUGAAUACCAUCCACAAAAAAUUGCAAAUGUGAUUAUUUUUUCUGUUAACCAUUAACCAGUAAAUAUGACUUUCUGAAAUCAGAUGCAUUAGCAAGUAAUUCACUGAAAACUAUCCUUUGAUUUCAACUGUUUGCUCUGUUGCAGUCCUUGGUGCAGUCUUGAAGAUCUGGAAUAAAGAGCUUAGUUACCUUUUCUGAUGAUAAUCACAAGUUAAUCCUGAUUCAAUUUCUUGAUUUUAGGUUAACACACAAUAACGUAUUUGUAGUCAUUAUGUUUAAAAUCAAAAUGACCAUAAUUCUGAUGGACAUGCAGUAUAAACCUCUUAUGUUCAAGGCUCAGUAGAGAUGACAAAGGAAGUGUUUUCGUGAUUCAUUUGAGACUGGCAUUAACUGACAUUUGAUGGAUUCUUUGGAUUACAAUACUUGAUCCUCCUUUUCAGCUUCAAUUUUUAUUUCUUGAAGCUCUGUCCAAAAUAUAAAAUUUUCUUUGACACAAAACUGUCAUGAUGUGCCUAUAUAUAGUCAUGAUGUGCCUUUAUAUGGUCAUGAUGUGAUGUCAUCAUGACCAUAUUUAGGCAUGUCACAUGUUUUUGUAAAAUCAAAUUUUAUAGUCUGGACUGGGCUUUAGGUGUUCAAUUAUAGUUUGACCAAAAUAUUAUUGAGUGUUAUUUCAAAUUCACAAUAAUAUAGUAAAAUAUGCAUUUUCAUU